RNAcentral lists this ribosomal RNA (774 nucleotides) under uncultured Neocallimastigales. RNAcentral describes it as "partial large subunit ribosomal RNA". It matches the Rfam family "Eukaryotic large subunit ribosomal RNA", at positions 24 to 642 of the family's 3401-position model. The record is from RNAcentral. Lineage: Eukaryota; Fungi; Neocallimastigomycota; Neocallimastigomycetes; Neocallimastigales.
UAUCUCUGUAGAGUCUGCAUAUCAAUAAGCGGAGGAAAAGAAACUAACAAGGAUUCCCUUAGUAACGGCGAGUGAAGCGGGAAGAGCUCAAAUUUGAAAUCUUCAAGGUUUGACCUUGACGAAUUGUAGUUUAAAGAAGUGUUUUCGGUUAGAGGAGUAGUAAAAGUUCUUUGGAAUAGGACAUCAUAGAGGGUGAGAAUCCCGUAUUUGACUAUUCUUUCUAGCUUUGUGAUACACUUUCAAAGAGUCGGAUUGUUUGGGAAUGCAGUCCAAAAUGGGUGGUAAAUUUCAUCUAAAGCUAAAUAUUGGCGAGAGACCGAUAGCGAACAAGUACCGUGAGGGAAAGAUGAAAAGAACUUUGAAAAGAGAGUUAAACAGUACGUGAAAUUGUCAAAAGGGAAGCGUUUGACACCAGUGUUGUUUUUCCGAAAAUCAAUUAAAAAUUGAUUCAUGCCAGGUUGUAUUGACCUUAUCAGCUUGCAAUUUGGUUUUGGGUCUCUUUUUGAUGCACUUUUCGGUUAACAAGUCAACAUCAAUUUCCUUUGCUGUAAAAAGGUAAGAGGAAGGUGGCUUCAAUUUCGGUUGAAGUGUUUAUAGCCUUUUAUCUCUGCAGUCGGGGAGAUUGAGGUCUGCAGCGUAGAUCCUUCGGGGCUAGAUACAUUUAUGCUAAGUUAUAGCUUUUCAUAGACAACUUGUUGACUAUAUUUAGUCAUGUAGCUUACUCGUAAGUGCUAUUUUACCUACGCUUAGGAUGUUGAAGACUCUACAGAGAUA